RNAcentral lists this ribosomal RNA (253 nucleotides) under uncultured bacterium. RNAcentral's name for it is "partial 16S ribosomal RNA". It matches the Rfam family "Bacterial small subunit ribosomal RNA", at positions 524 to 776 of the family's 1533-position model. The record is from RNAcentral.
UACGGGGGGGGCAAGCGUUGUUCGGAAUUACUGGGCGUAAAGGGCUCGUAGGCGGCCAACCAAGUCAGACGUGAAAUCCCCAGGCUCAACCUGGGAACUGCGUCUGAUACUGGAUGGCUUGAAUCCGGGAGAGGGAUGCAGAAUUCCAGGUGUAGCGGUGAAAUGCGUAGAUAUCUGGAGGAAUACCGGUGGCGAAGGCGGCAUCCUGGACCGGCAUUGACGCUGAGGAGCGAAAGCCAGGGGAGCAAACGGG